UAAGGAUCAAGACGAGUCCAGGGAAACCAUCCGUCCAAGGAAAAUGCAAGAUUCAACAAGCUUUGCUCCAUCAUUUUGGCAUUCUCAUACAUAUAAGGAAACCUUCCGAUUUUAAGUAUACGGUUAAAAUGAAGCUCGCUUGGACGUAUAAGCAUUAAGCCAGCAUUGAAAUAAGGAGUAUCUUCUGGAGGUAUACUAUGAUGCUCUCCUCUAUCAGAGACGGCUGCGAGAAGAUAAGGGUAAAAUUCGCUUCGACUGGCACCAUAUUCUUUAAAAUCCUCAUUGAAGUGAUAGACGGUAUCAUCAUCAGGCUUCGUGUAGGAAGGUAGCCGUGUAUAGUUCAAGGUAUUAAUUUGUUGGUACAUAUAAGGAGUAUCAAAUAUAUCAUCAAUGUUCUUCAUGAUCAAUAUAUCACUGUCAAUUACGCAAAUUUUGUCAAAUUGUAUUUGUUCGAAAAUUCGCAACUUCGAAAACAUUUGUUCAUAUCUAGCAGAUAUUUCUUGACUAAAUGAGGAUGUAUCGUAUACAAUAUCCGAUGAAGCAAUGGGGUCUAUAACAAUCACAGAAGCACCAUCCUUUCGAAAACGUUCAAUUUUCCACUCAUCUACUCCACGGAGUGCAAGGAUAUGGAUAGGGUAUUUACUUUUGGUAGUAGGAUGAUAUUUCAAUCGGUGAAUUAAAACCCUAGUAGCGUUGAA
Schizosaccharomyces pombe (fission yeast) is the source of this 698-nucleotide non-coding RNA. NCBI's taxonomy places the organism in Eukaryota, Fungi, Ascomycota, Schizosaccharomycetes, Schizosaccharomycetales, Schizosaccharomycetaceae. The record is from the annotation of a GenBank genome assembly.